CGUUUUUACGGUGGAAACACCAAAGGUUUAGUUGAACUCUACCCUACAAAAUUUUAGGGUAGCGUUCAAUUGGGUUCGGUGGAAACGACAAGAGUCGAGUUCGUGUUGCCAACAUAACAAAUCCAAAUUGCAUUGUGUAUCACGUGUUGUAUUAAUCGGUGUAGAAGAGAAUAUGGUAGUUGACUUUGUGCAGUUGGUAAUGUUCAACCCUGCCGCAACUCCAACCCGCGACUCAAACCCGAAUCUAACCCGACUCUGACCCGAUUUGAACCCUCGAUGGAAACGUAGUCAUAGAUGUUGUUGCAAUUAUUCAUUUUGUAAAAUACGAUAUGCUGUGAAAGAAUAUUAUAACGCAUAUUACAAAGUCAUCAAGUUCAUACAAUAUGUAUAUUUUCCAGCCAAAAUUAGGAAGAUGAGACUGUGGUGUACGAAUAUAACCGAUCGUGAGAGUAAUUAUAGCUUUGUCUUAUACAAUGAACAUGUAGAGAAGAUAUUAAGGUGAAGUUGGUGUUCUUAAGUGAAAUUAUAUAUUUCGUAACUACUAUUGUAUACAUUUUUAUGACGAGUUAAAAAAUACAUAUGACUGUUAGUCUCCUUAAAAAUGAGUGUUGUCAUGAAAUAAAGAACAUUUUAUUAGAAAAUAUUAUUUACUUUUUUUUAUUGGGAACCAACAUGCUCACAGUCUUUAAUACUGUCUAAUUCAGUUAUUAUAGAACAUGUAAAAUUUAAGUCCCCAAAUGGGAACGAAAUACAAUAAGAAGUUCAGGGUAAGUUGGCACUUAAUAAGCCAUUCAAUAUAGCUAUUCAUUAUACUUUACACAAAAGUAUUAAGUCACUUAUGACGAAAAAUCAUUAAUUUAGAAGAUAUU
Long non-coding RNA from Megachile rotundata (alfalfa leafcutting bee), 869 nucleotides. The record is from RefSeq and is a predicted model, not a curated record. Lineage: Eukaryota; Metazoa; Arthropoda; Insecta; Hymenoptera; Megachilidae.